This 623-nucleotide ribosomal RNA is filed under the name uncultured Anaplasma sp. Its description in RNAcentral is "bacterial SSU rRNA". It matches the Rfam family "Bacterial small subunit ribosomal RNA", at positions 21 to 672 of the family's 1533-position model. Lineage: Bacteria; Pseudomonadati; Pseudomonadota; Alphaproteobacteria; Rickettsiales; Anaplasmataceae. The record is from RNAcentral.
GGCUCAGAACGAACGCUGGCGGCAAGCUUAACACAUGCAAGUCGAACGGACCGUACGCGCAGCUUGCUGCGUGAAUGGAUAGUGGCAAACGGGUGAGUAAUGCAUAGCAAUCCGCCUAGUACUACACGAUAGCCACUAAAAAUGGUGGGUAAUACUGUAUAACCCCUGCGGGGGAAAGAUUUAUCGCUACUAGAUGAGCCUAUGUCAAAUUAGCUAGUUGGUGGGGUAAUGGCCCACCAAGGCUGUGAUCUGUAGCUGGUCUGAGAGGAUGAUCAGCCACACUGGAACUGAGACACGGUCCAGACUCCUACGGGAGGCAGCAGUGGGGAAUAUUGGACAAUGGGCGCAAGCCUGAUCCACCUAUGCCGCGUGAGUGAGGAAGGCCUUAGGGUUGUAAAACUCUUUCAGUAGGGAAGAUAAUGACGGUACCUACAGAAGAAGUCCCGGCAAACUCCGUGCCAGCAGCCGCGGUAAUACGGAGGGGGCAAGCGUUGUUCGGAAUUAUUGGGCGUAAAGGGCAUGUAGGCGGUUUGGUAAGUUAAAGGUGAAAUACCAGGGCUUAACCCUGGGGCUGCUUUUAAUACUGCAGGACUAGAGUCCGGAAGAGGAUAGCGGAAUUCCUA